GCGGAAUUAGUUUAGUGGCAAAAUGACUGCUUCCCAAGCAGUAGACACGAGUCCGAUUCUCGUAUUCCGCA
Non-coding RNA from Candidatus Terrybacteria bacterium RIFCSPLOWO2_02_42_20, 71 nucleotides. NCBI's taxonomy places the organism in Bacteria, Candidatus Terryibacteriota. The record is from Rfam.